This 394-nucleotide ribosomal RNA is filed under the name uncultured bacterium. RNAcentral describes it as "partial 16S ribosomal RNA". It matches the Rfam family "Bacterial small subunit ribosomal RNA", at positions 523 to 918 of the family's 1533-position model. The record is from RNAcentral.
AUACGUAGGUGACAAGCGUUAUCCGGAUUUAUUGGGUUUAAAGGGUGCGUAGGCGGGCUGUUAAGCGUGAGGUGAAAGCUCGGGGCUCAACCCCGGAACUGCCUCGCGAACUGGCGGUCUUGAAUGUCCGUGCCGUGGGAGGAAUGGGUGGUGUAGCGGUGAGAUGCAUAGAUAUCACGAAGAACUCCGAUCGCGAAGGCAGCCUUCCGGCCCGUCAACGACGCUCAUGCUCGAAGGUGCGGGUAUCAAACAGGAGUAGAUACCCUGGUAGUCCGCACAGUAAACGAUGGACACCCGCGGUUUGGCCUAUAUGGCUGAGCCGCCAAGCGAAAGCGUUAAGUGUCCCACCUGGGGAGUACGCCGGCAACGGUGAAACUCAAAUGAAUUGACGGGG